AAGUGAUCUUACCACUGUCAGGUUGAAGCUUGAGUAAAAAUCAAGUGGAGGACCGAACCUAGUUUGAUGAAAAAAGCAGGGAUGAAUGGUGGUAAGGGGUGAAAGGCUAAUCAAACUUGGAAAUAGCUGGCACUCCCCGAAAUGCCUUGAGGGACAGCCUCGUACAAAUGCUUAGGGGGUAGAGCACUGUGUGGACUAGGGGCCUUCACCGGCUACCAAACCCAUGCAAACUCCGAAUACCUAAGCACAACGUACGGGAGUGAGACUGUGUGCGAUAAGGUUCAUAGUCGAGAGGGAAACAGCCCAGACCGACAGCUAAGGUCCCAAAAUACCGCUGAGUGUGAAAUGAUGUGCGGUUGCCCAGACAGCCAGGAGGUUGGCUUAGAAGCAGCCACUCCUUUAAAGAGUGCGUAAUAGCUCACUGGUCGAGCAAUCGUGCGCAAACAAUGUAACGGGGCUAAGCGGUAUACCGAAGCUUCGGAUUCGUAUCGCAAGGUACGGAUGGUAGGGGAG
RNAcentral lists this ribosomal RNA (513 nucleotides) under uncultured bacterium. Its description in RNAcentral is "bacterial LSU rRNA". It matches the Rfam family "Bacterial large subunit ribosomal RNA", at positions 723 to 1236 of the family's 2925-position model. The record is from RNAcentral.